This 1216-nucleotide ribosomal RNA is filed under the name metagenome. Its description in RNAcentral is "bacterial SSU rRNA". It matches the Rfam family "Bacterial small subunit ribosomal RNA", at positions 272 to 1498 of the family's 1533-position model. The record is from RNAcentral.
GACAUCGAUGUCUAGGGGUUCUGAGAGGAUUGUCCCCCACACUGGUACUGAGACACGGACCAGACUCCUACGGGAGGCAGCAGUGAGGAAUAUUGGUCAAUGGGCGAAAGCCUGAACCAGCCAUGCCGCGUGCAGGAUGAAGGUUCUACGAAUCGUAAACUGCUUUUCUACAGGAAGAAACCUACCCUCGUGAGGGUAGCUGCCGGUACUGUAGGAAUAAGCACCGGCUAACUCCGUGCCAGCAGCCGCGGUAAUACGGAGGGUGCAAGCGUUAUCCGGAUUUAUUGGGUUUAAAGGGUGCGUAGGCGGAAUAUUAAGUCAGUGGUGAAAUCCUGCGGCUCAACCGUAGAACUGCCAUUGAUACUGAUAUUCUUGAAUGUAGUUGAGGUAGGCGGAAUGUGUAAUGUAGCGGUGAAAUGCUUAGAUAUUACACAGAACACCGAUUGCGAAGGCAGCUUACUAAACUAUGAUUGACGCUGAGGCACGAAAGCGUGGGGAGCGAACAGGAUUAGAUACCCUGGUAGUCCACGCUGUAAACGAUGAUCACUCGUUGUUUGCGAUAUAUUGUAAGCGACUGAGCGAAAGCAUUAAGUGAUCCACCUGGGGAGUACGUUCGCAAGAAUGAAACUCAAAGGAAUUGACGGGGGCCCGCACAAGCGGAGGAACAUGUGGUUUAAUUCGAUGAUACGCGAGGAACCUUACCUGGGUUUAAAUGUAGGUUGCAUGAACGGGAAACUGUUCUUUCUUUCGGGACUACCUACAAGGUGCUGCAUGGUUGUCGUCAGCUCGUGCCGUGAGGUGUCGGGUUAAGUCCCAUAACGAGCGCAACCCCUAUCGUUAGUUGCCAUCAGGUCAUGCUGGGGACUCUAACGAGACUGCCGGUGUAAACCGUGAGGAAGGUGGGGAUGACGUCAAAUCAGCACGGCCCUUAUAUCCAGGGCUACACACGUGUUACAAUGGUCGGUACAAAGGGCAGCUACCUGGUGACAGGAUGCUAAUCUCUAAAGCCGAUCACAGUUCGGAUCGAAGUCUGCAACUCGACUUCGUGAAGUUGGAUUCGCUAGUAAUCGCGCAUCAGCCACGGCGCGGUGAAUACGUUCCCGGGCCUUGUACACACCGCCCGUCAAGCCAUGGAAGCUGGGGGUGCCUGAAGUCUGUAACCGCAAGGAGCGGCCUAAGGUAAAACUAGUAACUGGGGCUAAGUCGUAACAAGGUA